Molecule: ribosomal RNA, 164 nt
Filed under: Glycine tomentella
Lineage: Eukaryota; Viridiplantae; Streptophyta; Magnoliopsida; Fabales; Fabaceae
Description: 5.8S ribosomal RNA
Rfam family: 5.8S ribosomal RNA
About the family: 5.8S ribosomal RNA (5.8S rRNA) is a component of the large subunit of the eukaryotic ribosome.
Source: RNAcentral
ACRAUGACUCUCGGCAACGGAUAUCUCGGCUCUUGCAUCGAUGAAGAACGUAGCGAAAUGCGAUACUUGGUGUGAAUUGCAGAAUCCCGUGAACCAUCGAGUCUUUGAACGCAAGUUGCGCCCGAAGCCAUUAGGCCGAGGGCACGCCUGCCUGGGUGUCACAC